AAAUUGAAGAGUUUGAUCAUGGCUCAGAUUGAACGCUGGCGGCAGGCCUAACACAUGCAAGUCGAACGGUAACAGGAAGCAGCUUGCUGCUUCGCUGACGAGUGGCGGACGGGUGAGUAAUGUCUGGGAAACUGCCUGAUGGAGGGGGAUAACUACUGGAAACGGUAGCUAAUACCGCAUAAUGUCGCAAGACCAAAGAGGGGGACCUUCGGGCCUCUUGCCAUCGGAUGUGCCCAGAUGGGAUUAGCUUGUUGGUGGGGUAACGGCUCACCAAGGCGACGAUCCCUAGCUGGUCUGAGAGGAUGACCAGCCACACUGGAACUGAGACACGGUCCAGACUCCUACGGGAGGCAGCAGUGGGGAAUAUUGCACAAUGGGCGCAAGCCUGAUGCAGCCAUGCCGCGUGUAUGAAGAAGGCCUUCGGGUUGUAAAGUACUUUCAGCGGGGAGGAAGGGAGUAAAGUUAAUACCUUUGCUCAUUGACGUUACCCGCAGAAGAAGCACCGGCUAACUCCGUGCCAGCAGCCGCGGUAAUACGGAGGGUGCAAGCGUUAAUCGGAAUUACUGGGCGUAAAGCGCACGCAGGCGGUUUGUUAAGUCAGAUGUGAAAUCCCCGGGCUCAACCUGGGAACUGCAUCUGAUACUGGCAAGCUUGAGUCUCGUAGAGGGGGGUAGAAUUCCAGGUGUAGCGGUGAAAUGCGUAGAGAUCUGGAGGAAUACCGGUGGCGAAGGCGGCCCCCUGGACGAAGACUGACGCUCAGGUGCGAAAGCGUGGGGAGCAAACAGGAUUAGAUACCCUGGUAGUCCACGCCGUAAACGAUGUCGACUUGGAGGUUGUGCCCUUGAGGCGUGGCUUCCGGAGCUAACGCGUUAAGUCGACCGCCUGGGGAGUACGGCCGCAAGGUUAAAACUCAAAUGAAUUGACGGGGGCCCGCACAAGCGGUGGAGCAUGUGGUUUAAUUCGAUGCAACGCGAAGAACCUUACCUCUGGUCUUGACAUCCACAGAACUUUCCAGAGAUGGAUUGGUGCCUUCGGGAACUGUGAGACAGGUGCUGCAUGGCUGUCGUCAGCUCGUGUUGUGAAAUGUUGGGUUAAGUCCCGCAACGAGCGCAACCCUUAUCCUUUGUUGCCAGCGGUCCGGCCGGGAACUCAAAGGAGACUGCCAGUGAUAAACUGGAGGAAGGUGGGGAUGACGUCAAGUCAUCAUGGCCCUUACGACCAGGGCUACACACGUGCUACAAUGGCGCAUACAAAGAGAAGCGACCUCGCGAGAGCAAGCGGACCUCAUAAAGUGCGUCGUAGUCCGGAUUGGAGUCUGCAACUCGACUCCAUGAAGUCGGAAUCGCUAGUAAUCGUGGAUCAGAAUGCCACGGUGAAUACGUUCCCGGGCCUUGUACACACCGCCCGUCACACCAUGGGAGUGGGUUGCAAAAGAAGUAGGUAGCUUAACCUUCGGGAGGGCGCUUACCACUUUGUGAUUCAUGACUGGGGUGAAGUCGUAACAAGGUAACCGUAGGGGAACCUGCGGUUGGAUCACCUCCUUACCUUAAAGAAGC
RNAcentral lists this ribosomal RNA (1556 nucleotides) under Shigella sonnei. Its description in RNAcentral is "bacterial SSU rRNA". It matches the Rfam family "Bacterial small subunit ribosomal RNA". The record is from RNAcentral. Lineage: Bacteria; Pseudomonadati; Pseudomonadota; Gammaproteobacteria; Enterobacterales; Enterobacteriaceae.